RNAcentral lists this ribosomal RNA (681 nucleotides) under Staphylococcus aureus. RNAcentral's name for it is "partial 23S ribosomal RNA". It matches the Rfam family "Bacterial large subunit ribosomal RNA", at positions 638 to 1324 of the family's 2925-position model. Lineage: Bacteria; Bacillati; Bacillota; Bacilli; Caryophanales; Staphylococcaceae. The record is from RNAcentral.
AUGCAAGGUUAAGCAGUAAAUGUGGAGCCGUAGCGAAAGCGAGUCUGAAUAGGGCGUUUAGUAUUUGGUCGUAGACCCGAAACCAGGUGAUCUACCCUUGGUCAGGUUGAAGUUCAGGUAACACUGAAUGGAGGACCGAACCGACUUACGUUGAAAAGUGAGCGGAUGAACUGAGGGUAGCGGAGAAAUUCCAAUCGAACCUGGAGAUAGCUGGUUCUCUCCGAAAUAGCUUUAGGGCUAGCCUCAAGUGAUGAUUAUUGGAGGUAGAGCACUGUUUGGACGAGGGGCCCCUCUCGGGUUACCGAAUUCAGACAAACUCCGAAUGCCAAUUAAUUUAACUUGGGAGUCAGAACAUGGGUGAUAAGGUCCGUGUUCGAAAGGGAAACAGCCCAGACCACCAGCUAAGGUCCCAAAAUAUAUGUUAAGUGGAAAAGGAUGUGGCGUUGCCCAGACAACUAGGAUGUUGGCUUAGAAGCAGCCAUCAUUUAAAGAGUGCGUAAUAGCUCACUAGUCGAGUGACACUGCGCCGAAAAUGUACCGGGGCUAAACAUAUUACCGAAGCUGUGGAUUGUCCUUUGGACAAUGGUAGGAGAGCGUUCUAAGGGCGUUGAAGCAUGAUCGUAAGGACAUGUGGAGCGCUUAGAAGUGAGAAUGCCGGUGUGAGUAGCGAAAGACGGGUGA